This 409-nucleotide ribosomal RNA is filed under the name uncultured bacterium. RNAcentral describes it as "bacterial SSU rRNA". It matches the Rfam family "Bacterial small subunit ribosomal RNA", at positions 337 to 744 of the family's 1533-position model. The record is from RNAcentral.
UCCUACGGGAGGCAGCAGUGGGGAAUAUUGCACAAUGGGCGCAAGCCUGAUGCAGCAACGCCGCGUGAGGGACGAAGGCCUUCGGGUUGUAAACCUCUUUUAGUAGGGAAGAAGCGACUGGGUUUUCCUGGGAGUGACGGUACCUGCAGAAAAAGCACCGGCUAACUACGUGCCAGCAGCCGCGGUAAUACGUAGGGUGCAAGCGUUGUCCGGAAUUAUUGGGCGUAAAGAGCUCGUAGGCGGUUUGUCGCGUCUGCUGUGAAAACCCGAGGCUCAACCUCGGGCCUGCAGUGGGUACGGGCAGACUAGAGUGCGGUAGGGGAGAUUGGAAUUCCUGGUGUAGCGGUGGAAUGCGCAGAUAUCAGGAGGAACACCAAUGGCGAAGGCAGAUCUCUGGGCCGUAACUGAC